GGCCGUGUGGCGAAAUGGCAUCGCGUCUGACUACGACACUUGUACGUAUCAGGAGAUUGCAGGUUCGAGACCUGUCUCGGUCA
This 83-nucleotide transfer RNA is filed under the name Laccaria amethystina LaAM-08-1. It matches the Rfam family "tRNA". Rfam says of the family: Transfer RNA (tRNA) molecules are approximately 80 nucleotides in length. Their secondary structure includes four short double-helical elements and three loops (D, anti-codon, and T loops). Further hydrogen bonds mediate the characteristic L-shaped molecular structure. tRNAs have two regions of fundamental functional importance: the anti-codon, which is responsible for specific mRNA codon recognition, and the 3' end, to which the tRNAs corresponding amino acid is attached (by aminoacyl-tRNA synthetases). tRNAs cope with the degeneracy of the genetic code in two manners: having more than one tRNA (with a specific anti-codon) for a particular amino acid; and 'wobble' base-pairing, i.e. permitting non-standard base-pairing at the 3rd anti-codon position. The record is from Rfam by way of RNAcentral. Lineage: Eukaryota; Fungi; Basidiomycota; Agaricomycetes; Agaricales; Hydnangiaceae.